This 85-nucleotide transfer RNA is filed under the name Felis catus (domestic cat). It matches the Rfam family "tRNA". Rfam says of the family: Transfer RNA (tRNA) molecules are approximately 80 nucleotides in length. Their secondary structure includes four short double-helical elements and three loops (D, anti-codon, and T loops). Further hydrogen bonds mediate the characteristic L-shaped molecular structure. tRNAs have two regions of fundamental functional importance: the anti-codon, which is responsible for specific mRNA codon recognition, and the 3' end, to which the tRNAs corresponding amino acid is attached (by aminoacyl-tRNA synthetases). tRNAs cope with the degeneracy of the genetic code in two manners: having more than one tRNA (with a specific anti-codon) for a particular amino acid; and 'wobble' base-pairing, i.e. permitting non-standard base-pairing at the 3rd anti-codon position. RNAcentral also lists the same sequence under 3 other names. Lineage: Eukaryota; Metazoa; Chordata; Mammalia; Carnivora; Felidae. The record is from Rfam by way of RNAcentral.
ACCUGAGUAGCUCAGUUGGUUGAGUGUCUGACUUCAGCUCAGGUCAUGAUUUCAUGGUUCAUGGGUUUGAGUUCCACAUCAGGUU